This 300-nucleotide unclassified non-coding RNA is filed under the name Hevea brasiliensis (rubber tree). Lineage: Eukaryota; Viridiplantae; Streptophyta; Magnoliopsida; Malpighiales; Euphorbiaceae. The record is from RNAcentral.
AAUAUUUUCAUUUUUGGUUAAUUUUAGUUUUCUUUCAAAUUUGGUUUGGUUGGAUUAAUAUUUUUAGAGUUGAUUAACAAUUCAAUUAGUUGAAAAUUCGGUUUGGUUCGGUUAACCGGAUACCCACCCUUAGUUUUCUGUGCAUUGUAAAUGUAUUCUUGUCCAUAAAUUAGCUUUUCAAUUAUAGUGAAUUUUGUCCAUUGGUAAUAGAUCCUGCUUUUGUUACUCUAUAUCAUGAAAAUCUCUUUGAGUGGGUUAGUCAAAUUGACCCAGAAACUUGAGAUUUGCAUAUUACAUUGC